Molecule: transfer RNA, 84 nt
Filed under: Chloroflexota bacterium
Lineage: Bacteria; Bacillati; Chloroflexota
Description: Chloroflexi bacterium (groundwater metagenome) tRNA-Leu
Rfam family: tRNA
About the family: Transfer RNA (tRNA) molecules are approximately 80 nucleotides in length.
Source: RNAcentral
GCCGGGGUGGCGAAAUGGCAGACGCAGCGGACUUAAAAUCCGCUUCCCCCAAAAGGAGUGUGGGUUCAAGUCCCUCCCCCGGCA